RNAcentral lists this ribosomal RNA (1269 nucleotides) under Corynebacterium sp. 1CTGx. Its description in RNAcentral is "bacterial SSU rRNA". It matches the Rfam family "Bacterial small subunit ribosomal RNA", at positions 75 to 1386 of the family's 1533-position model. Lineage: Bacteria; Bacillati; Actinomycetota; Actinomycetes; Mycobacteriales; Corynebacteriaceae. The record is from RNAcentral.
CCUGCUUUCAAGGUCCCGACUGGCGACGGGUGAUAACACGGGGUGUUCUGCCCUCCCUUCGGAUACCCUGGAAACUGGGUCGUAUACCGGAUGCCCAUCUUUAGUGUCGGUGGUGGAAAUUUUUCGGUUCAGGAUGACUCGCGCCCUAUCACUUUUGGUGGGGUAAUGCCCUACCAAGGCUCGACGGGUAACCGCCCUGAGAGGGUGGACGCCCCCAUUGGGACUGAGACACGGCCCAGACUCCUACGGGAGGCCCCAGUGGGGAAUUUUGCCAAUGGGCCCAACCCUGAUGCAGCGACCCCCCCGGGGGAUGAAGGCCUUCGGGUUGUAAACUCCUUUCAACCAUGACGAAGCGUAAGUGACGGUAGUGGUAGAAGAAGCACCGGCUUACUACGUGCCAGCAGCCGCGGUAAUAACGUAGGGUGCGAGCGUUGUCCGGAAUUACUGGGCGUAAAGAGCUCGUAGGUGGUUUGUCGCGUCGUCUGUGAAAUUCCGGGGCUUAACUCCGGCGUCCUGUCGAUACGCAUAACUUGGUUGCUGUAAGGGAACUGAAUUCCCUUUUUUACCGCUGAAAUGCGCAGAAAACAGGAGGAACACCAAUGGCGAAGGCAGGUCUCUGGGCCGGUGAAUGACGCUGAGGACGAAGCAUGGGUAGCGAAAAGGAUUAGAUACCCUGUUCCCCAUGCCGGAAAAAGAGGGCGCUAGGUGUGGGGGUCUUCUUUCCUUCGGUGCCGAAGAAACAUUAGGCGCCCCGCCUGGGAAGUACGGCCGCAAGGCUAAAACUCAAAGGAAUUGACGGGGGCCUGAACAAGCGGCGGAGCAUGUGGAUUAAUUGGAUGCAACGCGAAGAACCUUACCUGGGCUUGACAUAUGCCGGAUCGGCGCAAAGUUGCGUUUUCCCUUGUGGUCGGUAAAAAGGUGGUGCAUGGUUGUCGUCACCUCGUGUCGUGAGAGGAAGAGUUAAAGUCCCGCAACGAGCGCAACCCUUGUCUUGUGUUGCCAGCACGUUAUGGUGGGGACUCGCGAGAGACUGCCGGGGGUUAACUCGGGAGGAAGGUGGGGAUGACGUCAAAUCAUCAAGCCCCUUAUGGCCAGGGAUUCACACAUGCUAAAUGGGCGGUACAGGGGGUUGCAACACCGCGAGGGGGGCUAAUCCCUUAAAAGCCGGUCUCAGGUCGGAAUGGAAUCUGGAACUCGACCCAUGGAAACGGGAGUCGCUAGAACGGAAGAUCAUAAAGCUGUUCGGAAAAAAUUCUCCGGGGCGGGGGC